CUGUAUGCAUUCACCAUUUAUGUAACCCCGCAGGCUAGACCACCUGGAGACCUCAUGAAGACCUCAUAAACCCAGGCCCAGGUGGGCAAGCUGCCCGGGAAAGGAGGCAUUGAGCGGUCAAGACCAAAUGACCUCAGAUGGACACACCAGGUAGCACAUGUGACCAAAGAACCUCUUCCUAUUGUGGGAAUCUGAAGACCCAAGUUUGAGUCCUAGGCUCCUCCUAGUGGGUGGCUCCUCCCUUCUGUGUCUUGGUGACCAUGUGUAAAGUGCUGGGAAUCAAACACGGGGCCUUGUGCAUGUUAGGCAAAUGUGCUACCGGCUCUGUGUUGAUACAGUUUGGAACCCCACCGUGAUUUCAAAGACAGCAUUGAUCUCUAAUACGCAUCUGGAAACCACUACGGGCUCUCGCUGUCUUCAGGAGCCCCUCUCAAAACUCACACCCAAUGCAAACAAGGGCAGAGAUAGAGCUUCAAGAAGGGAGACUCUCUGCAACCUCGUUAUAACUGUUGGUUUCUAUUCAAAAAGUCAAUUCU
Long non-coding RNA from Sciurus carolinensis (gray squirrel), 536 nucleotides. RefSeq lists it as uncharacterized. The transcript has 4 exons. Lineage: Eukaryota; Metazoa; Chordata; Mammalia; Rodentia; Sciuridae. The record is from RefSeq and is a predicted model, not a curated record.